GAGAGAGUCAAGGUGGAGGGGGAGAUGAGAGGGAGAGAGAUGAAAGAGAGAAAGGAGAGACGGAAAAGGAAGACUAGGUCACAGGUGCCAACUGCCUCGUGUGGCCUUUGUAGGCACCACUGACACAGAACGAUGAGAUGUUUCUGAGACCACAUCCUACAAAGUUCCUCAAAACGCCCUGGAAGGAUCAAGCACCAGUUGCCUACAGCAUGGGCCAAGUUCCAGAAAAAUCUUGGCAUCGACUCCCUUCGUUCCUUUUUUACUCUCCCAUCCAUCAUUGCUCCCUGGGAUCACGUGAUAAAUCACCUGUAUAAAAGCCUUUGUCUGAGGCUCUCCUUUUGGAAAAAUCCAGGCUAAGACACCAUGCUUGUUCAUUUGUUAUGAGAAAAACUGUUGUCAGAUACAAACUGCCAUGGGUUAUCCAGAGACAAAAUUGUCUGCUAGGAAAAACACCUUACUCUUCAACAGUGGCCUUCACAGCACUUAGAUGCAAAGCAUUUUAUAUACAGGACCUCAAAGACAAAGUUUAUCUGCAGUGCCCUACUCCUCCCUUCCCCACUGCUUACUCUCCCUGGUGUCAGUGUCUUCUAUGUCCUAUCUCUCUGACAGUUCCAGCUCUAGACAACAGUGCCACCACUGCUCAGGGGCUAGAAGUGGCCAUGGACUGGUUAUUGGCUACCCUUGUGUUGGCUUAUUAUGGCCCAUCAGGUGGCCUAUUACGUGGCCAGGUGAGAAAGGUUCUACUCAGCUAGGUUGAGUAGAACCUAGCUACUUAUUAAAAAAUUGGACAUGAAAAUAUAUUAAAGAUUAGCUUGUCCAUGGUGACAGUGGAGGACAGCAGAUGUGCAGAGAGAAGCAGACUCAACAUGAGAAGACCAUACAGACCAGGAACCAGGGAUCCUGAGGUGUUCCCUAGAGAAACAUCAGACUCUGGACAACUUUGAAAUUCUUGGUUCAGUCCAGAUUUCCUUAUAAUAUCUGCUACCUAGUAGUUCCUCUUCUUUUUUAAGUGAGCCCAAGCAUGUCUCAGCUUUCUUAUGAGUAGAAAAACCUGGGGGACCUGAUGCCCCACACCCUGACUUUCUCCUGUUUUUCUCCAGGCCAGUAAUAAACAAUGAUAUCUAAUAGAUAUCAUCUCUCCAUAGACAGUAACUCUCUAGAGGUAGGGCGUCACCUUGAAGGGGUGAUACCAAGGCACUGGAGUAGGCCAAUAAGCGAGAGAUUUGGUGGAAGUGAGGACAGUUGCAGUGCCCCUGGGAUGACCCCGUGUAAGCAACUGCUCAGACUAUUUGCAUCUCCAGCUUCAUGGUAGGAAUUCGGUCCUGGAGAAAAUGACAGGGAUCUAUUCACAUCUGGCAAUUCUUUGACACUGGAAUGUACAUUCCACAGAAGGCUGAGCUUGUGGCUUCUCAGCAGUCCCGCCAGUGACUAAUGCCCAUGGUAUAGAGUCUACAUCCCAAAUUUUCUGGGAUUAUCCAGAUUUCAAAUAUGCUGUCCCAGGGUUGCUAUAAAUCAUUGGUCUAUUCCAUAAGUUCCAAUGACUAGUAAAUAAUUUCAAAAUAAUUCAAACUGGUGGGCAUUAAGAUAAGGAUGCACUUGUAUUCAAAUGAUAGGAUCUCACUGGCUGAAGAAAUAUUAAGGAUUCAUGGAGACACAGAUAUACUAUGUAUCUAAAGAUGCCUAGAUGCAAUCUUCUACGUCAAAAUUAUUUGAAAUAUAUUCAAAAACCUGGAAA
Long non-coding RNA from Canis lupus familiaris (dog), 1735 nucleotides. RefSeq lists it as uncharacterized. The record is from RefSeq and is a predicted model, not a curated record. The transcript is spliced from 2 exons. Lineage: Eukaryota; Metazoa; Chordata; Mammalia; Carnivora; Canidae.